RNAcentral lists this ribosomal RNA (3331 nucleotides) under activated sludge metagenome. RNAcentral's name for it is "eukaryotic LSU rRNA". It matches the Rfam family "Eukaryotic large subunit ribosomal RNA". The record is from RNAcentral.
AUGGUACCUGAAAUAAGCAAGAUUACCCGCUGAACUUAAGCAUAUCAGUAAGCGGAGGAAAAGAAAAUAACAAUGAUUACCUCAGUAGCGGCGAGUGAAGAGGUAAAAGCCCAAGAUGUUAAUCCAUAGCACAACUGUGGAAUUGUAAUCUAUAGUGUUUCUCAGAAGGUCAAGACUCGUCAUAAGUUCUUUGGAACAAGACACCAUAGAGGGUGAAAGUCCCGUCUUUGGAUGAGUCGAGAUGAUAUGAGAGAUUUCUAAGAGUCGUGUAGUUUGGGAAUGCUGCACUAAGUGGGAGAUAAACUUCUCCUAAGGCUAAAUAUAAGAUAGGAGACCGAUAGCAUACAAGUACUGCGAAGGAAAGAUGAAAAGAACUUUGAAAAGAGGGUUAAAAGACUUGAAAUCGUUGAAAAGGAAGCAGUAAAAGAGAAAUUAUAACCGGCGAAUUAACUCAUUAAUCUAAGCUUAGAGGUGGAGAGUACUUCAUAGGAUUCUUAUCUUAAAGUGAAAAUUAGUGAGAUUUCGCAGGUGAAAGGCAAAAUGGCUUUCUUUUGUAAUAGUAAGGUCAAACAUAUUGUGAAGCCAAAAAUUACAAAAGAGAGUGAGGGAUUAGCUAAUGAUUUUGCCAAAAUGGCUUUUACUGACCCGUCUUGAAACACGGACCAAGGAGUCUACCCAUUAUGCGAGUGUUAGGGUGGAAAAACCCAAACGCGUACCGAAAGGGAUGCAAGAUGUGAAGCGCAAGCUGCAACAUCAACCAAUCUUGAUUCUUUGAUGAAGGACUUGAGUAAGAGCAUAAUUGGUAGGACCCGAAAGAUGGUGAACUACGGUUGAGUAGGGUGAAGCCAGGGGAAACUCUGGUGGAGGCUCGAAGCGUUACUGACGUGCAAAUCGUUCGUCAAACUUGACUGUAGGGGCGAAAGACUAAUCGAACCAUCUAGUAGCUGGUUCCCUCUGAAAUUUCUCUCAGGAUAGCAGGAACAGUUUAUGCAGUUUUAUCAGGUAAAGCUAAUGAUUAGUGGACUCGGGGGUCUGAGACUCUCGACCAAUUCUCAAACUUUAAAUUGGUAAGAACUUCUAGUUAUCUUAAUUGAACUAGGAGGUGGAAUGCGUUGUUCUUAGUGGGCCAUUUUUGGUAAGCAGAACUGGCGAUGAGGGAUGAACCUAACGUUGAGAUAAGGUGCCCAAAUUCACGCUCAUGAGACACCAUAAAAGGUGUUGGUUAGUAUAAACAGCCGGACUGUGGCCAUGGAAGUCGGCAUCAGCUAAGGAGUGUGUAACAACUCACCAGCCGAAUUAACCAGCCCUGAAAAUUGAUGGCGCUAAGCGUGAUACCGAUACUCAACCAUCAAGGCAAAUAGAAGCUUUGAUGAGUAAGAGGGCGUGAAGACUGUGUAGAAGGCUUGGAUGUGAAUCUGGCUGGAACAGUCUUUAGUGCAGAUCUUGGUGGUAGUAGCAAAUAUUCAAAUGAGAACUUUGAAGACCGAAGUGGAGAAGGGUUCCAUGAGAACAGCAUUUGUUCAUGGGUUACUCGAUCCUAAGACAUAGGGAAAUUCCUUGUAAUAUAUGUGUUCUUACGAAUGCAUUGUCAAAAGGGAAUGAGGUUGAUAUUCCUCAAGCUGGAUGUGGUGGCUACGUGGUAACACGAACAAGCUCGGAAAUGCCGGUAUGUGCAACUGGAAGAGUUCUCUUUUCUUCUUAACAAUCUAUCUCCCUGAAUGGAUUAUCCAAAGCAAGGGAUAUAUGGUUGGCAGAGCAGUUCACCAUCGAAUUGUCAGUGAUGCUCAUAACGGCCCUUGAAAAUCUGAGUAAGGUUAUCCAAUCACACCAGGUCGUACCCAUAACCGCAUCAGGUCUCCAAGGUUAGCAGCCUCUGGUCGAUAGAAUAAUGUAGAUAAGGGAAUUCGGCAAAUUAGAUCCGUAACUUCGGGAAAAGGAUUGGCUCUGAGGAUUGGGUUAUAGUUGCUGUCAUUGAGAGGGGAACUAUGAAAGAGCUGCGCAAGUGGAUCUGGAUUGGUGAACCAGGAAAUGCCGGUUUACUUACACCAGCAACAAUCGACUCAGAACUGAAGCGGACAAGGGGAAUCCGACUGUUUAAUAAAAACAUAGCUUUGUGAUGGCCUGAAAAGGUGUUGACACAAAGUGAUUUCUGCCCAGUGCUUUGAAUGUGAAUAUGAAGUAAUUUGUAGAAGCUCAGGUAAACGGCGGGAGUAACUAUGACUCUCUUAAGGUAGCCAAAUGCCUCGUCAUCUAAUUAGUGACGCGCAUGAAUGGAUCAAUGAGAUUCCCACUGUCCCUAUCUACUAUCUAGCGAACCCACAGCCAAGGGAACGGGCUUGGAAUAAUCAGCGGGGAAAGAAGACCCUGUUGAGCUUGACUCUAGUCCGACUUUGUGAAAUGACUUUCGAGAUAUAGCCUAAGUGGGAGCUAACGCGCCGCUGUAAAACCACUGCUCGCUUAGCCAUUUUACUUACUCCAUGAAGAAGUGACCAAUUUAUUGGUUCUUAGAAUUAAAUGCUGGCUCGCACCAGCAUGAGCUUUGUGGAGGACAAGGUCAGGUGGGGAGUUUGACUGGGGCGGUACAUCUGUUAAACAAUAACGCAGGUGUCCUACGGUGAGCUCAAAGAGAACAGAAAUCUCUUGUAGACCAAAAGGGGAAAAGCUCACUUGAUUUUGAUUUUCAGUACUAAUACAAACCGCGAAAGCGUGGCCUAUCGAUCCUUUAACUUUACAAGUUUUAAGCUAGAGGUGUCAGAAAAGUUACCACAGGGAUAACUGGCUUGUGGCAGCCAAGCGCCCAUAGCGACGUUGCUUUUUGAUCCUUCGAUGUCGGCUCUUCCUAUCAUUGUGAAGCAUAAUUCACAACGUGUUGGAUUGUUCACCCGUUAAUAGGGAACGUGAGCUGGGUUUAGACCGUCGUGAGACAGGUUAGUUUUACCCUACUGAUGAAUCGAUGUUGCGACAGUAAUCUUACUUAGUACGAGAGGAACCGUUAGAUCAGAUAAUUGGUUAAUACGGUUAGCUGAAAAGCUAAUGCCGUGAAGCUACCAUCUGUUGGAUUAUGACUGAAAGCCUCUAAGUCAGAAACCAUGCUGGAAAGCAACGUCCAAUCAAUAAUAAAUGAAAAAGAAUAAGGGAAACCUUUAGUUCAGUAAGGGAGCGGCGAAACUCGAAAGAGCACAGCCUAACCUCCAAUAAAUUUAAAUUAUUAUUGUAACAGAUCUUCUGUAGACGACUUAAUUCAGGAAAGGGUAUUGUAAACGCUAGAGUAAUUCACAUUACGAUGUGUUGAGAUUCAUCCCUAAAUCCUAAGAUCUGUAAUUCACCCUUC